Molecule: non-coding RNA, 950 nt
Organism: Acanthopagrus latus (yellowfin seabream)
Lineage: Eukaryota; Metazoa; Chordata; Actinopteri; Spariformes; Sparidae
Source: the annotation of a RefSeq genome assembly
AACAUGUAUGUGUGAAUGUUACCAGUAACAAUAUAAAAUUUGUACAUUAAUGAAAUAAUGUUUUCUCUACUUUAGGAGUAUAGAAUAAGUCCCUCUUGUCUCUGCAAAGCCUGAGACGAUGAUCCGUUCUAGAAACCAUCACAGCUAUGUUUCCGUAAUUCAUUCCAGUAAUCAAGGAAUCAAACACAAAAACUACAACAAAGAAAACUUCCCAGCUGCAGCUGAUACAAACUGCUGCCUUCAGUCUGUUAACCAGGAGGAAGAAGAAGAGGUGAAAAUACAGAUCUAAGAGGAGACGGAGAGAUUCAGGGAGGAGCUGAGCUGUUACUGAACUAUAGAAGAGAGAGGAACUUCCAUAUUCAGCAGAGUUCAAUACACAAACCACAAACAUUACCUUUAUUCAACAUGCUGUCACUGGACUAUUAUGGGCUGUCUCUGAUGUUUCUCUCUAUUAUAGCAGGUGUCAGCUGUGAAGAACUCAGUCCAGUCAAGAAUGAAGAGUCCAGUUUAGAAGACAGCACUGUUACUCUGUCCUACACAUACUCCAAACAAGCAACUGGUAGUGAUUAUUUCUUCUGGUAUCGACAAUAUCCAGGAAAACCACCAGAGUUCCUCAUCUCUCACUCUGGAACAGGAACACCAAUAUCUGAUCCAGUCUCUAGACUGUCCUUCAACAUGAGUGAUGAUAAAACCAAAAUGCAUCUGCAGAUCUCCUCUGCUGCAGUGACAGACUCUGCUGUGUACUACUGUGCUGUGAGGCCCACAGUGACAGGAAACACCAAAACUCUGUACAAAAACCUUUGGAGCAAAGACAACACAAUACUCCACAACAUCCACUAGAGGGAGUCACACACCAUGAACCCAUUACAGUCUGAGCCAGUGUCACUGGACUGAUGACAAAUACAACAAAACAUCAACCAAUAAAGAUUCCACACAGAGCUGCUGUGACA